AGCCGGGGAGGAAGUGACACAUUUUCCUGCUUGAAUGGAGCAGGCCCCUGCAGCGGCGACUUGGCCUUCGUCAGCAGUCUUAUCUCGGGCCCGCCAUCGCAGGCGCCUGGUUCCUCAUACAAUGCUUUCCUCUGGCUGAACCCUUCGAGAUGACUGCAAAGCUUUGGAAAGCUCCAUGUCAGAGAUUCGCGGCAUCCGUGCCUGAUUCAAGUUCUCAAAUGCAACUUCCAGUAAUCAUCAGACACAGGUCCAUGUUUUGGGCAUCAUCUAUUGCACAGCUGUGCAACUGAAGGAGGGGAGAUCAAGCGUGGAGGAGGGAAGCAGGACUAUUUUGAACUGGAUCAAAUAUCCCCCACCUCCAGUCAGUGAUAAAGGGCCAAAGCAGAGAGCUGAACUGGAAGAGGGGCAACCGGGACCAGAACCCAGCGCCCAUAUGGGAUGCCAGCGCUGCAAAUGGAGGAUUAGCCAAGUGAGCCACGGCACCGGCCCCUGUGGAAGCCUUUUGAACCCACCAACUCCGCACAGGACUUAUUGACAGUUCUCCUGAGAGGUCUGUUAUAAAAGCCCACAUUUGUCCCCACCCAACCUUUCUGCUCCUGGUUACAGACGUAAUCACUUGCUUUCUCCUGGAUGCACACCUGCCAUUGCUCCAUGUGCCAUGAGAUAAUGUAGCCAAGGAGCACACUGCAGAGCAUUCCCUAAGCCAUUUGGACUUUGAACCCCUAAUACUAUGAGCUAAAUAAACCUCUUCUUCCUAAGUAGCCUAUGUCAAGUAUUUCAUGAUAGUGAGAGCAUAGUGGACAAGAUUCUGAAACCCUUCGUGGGCGGAGGGACAAGAUGGAGAGUCAGAAACACGAGCACUGGGAUUGGCAUUUGGCCCAGUGGUUAAGACACCAAUUGAGAUUUCCACAUUCCUUAUCAGAGUGCCUGGGUUUUGGGUCCUGGCUCCAUUUCUUUCUUCCUUUCUUCCUUCCUUUCUUCCUUCCUUCCUUCCUUCCUUUCUUCCUUCCUUCCUUCCUUCCUUCCUUCCUUCCUUCCUUCCUUCCUUCCUUCCUUCCUUCCUUCCUUCCUUUCUUCCUUUCCUUCCUUCCUUCCUUCCUUCCUUCCUUCCUUCCUUUCCUUCCUUUCCUUCCUUCCUUCUUUCUUUCCUCCUUCCUUCCUUCCUUCCUUCCUUCCUUCCUUCCUUCCUUCCUUCCUUCCUUCCUUCCUUUUAUUUUUUUUAUUUUUUGACAGGCAGAGUUUGACAGUGAGAGAGAAAGAGACAGAGAGAGAGUUAUAGACAGUGAGAGAGAGAGAAAGGUCUUCCUUCUGUUGGUUCACUCCUCUAAUGUCCUCCCGGUCUCCUAUGUGGGUGCAGGGACCCAAGCAUUUGGGCCAUCCUCUGCUGUCCUCCUGGGCCACAGCAAAGAGCUGGACUGGAAGAGGAGCAACCAGGACUAGUACCCGGCACCCCAACCGGGACUAGAACCCGGGGUGCCGGCACUGCAGGCAGAGAAUUAGCCAAGAGAGCCAUGGCGCCAGUCCUGGCUCCAUUUCUGAUUCCAGCUUCCUGCUAAUAUACAACCUAGGAAGCAAGCAACAGCUCCAAGUAGUUACAUCUCCGUCACCCAAGUGGGAGAUUUGGUUUGAGCUCCCAACUCCUGGCUUCAGCCUUGUCCAGUCCCUGCCAUUGCCAACAUUUGGAGAUGUGAACUAGCAGAUGGGAGUGCUCUCUCUCUUUCUCACUCUCUCUCCCCCUCUCAAAUAAAUAAAUAAAUCAAUAUUUAAAAAGUGUGUGUACAAAGAAAUGCAAAGUCUGUGAGCAGAUAAUAUCACAAACAUGUUGAUGACAGGCAAGCAUAAUGCCACCCAAGUAAGGAUGGGACAAAGAUGUUGUCAUCAGUUUAACCAUACAAGUAUGUUCAUAGCUAUUCUUUUUCUUUUCUAUUUUGAUCAAAAAAGUUUGUAGUUUUUACAUUGUCAACUGAACAACAAUCUUGUGACAUUUCACAGCAUAUAAGCAAUUCAGCAAACUUUUGACAGUUUAGAAACAUACUUAGGUUCUGUGGGACGGUGAUGGGCUGCACGUCUGCCAUUCCAUCCCCCCAUGGUUUGUUUAUGUCACUAUGUGGCUUCGGUCAAGAUCAAUAACUUGGCUGCAAGGUCCCCAAAGAUGUUCUGCUUAGUGGCAGGGGUGGGCAUAUCCUUCAACACUGCUGCCCUUGGGGGUACUGAGGAGAAGCUGUCUAGUGAGUCACUGGGAGUGCAAGUGUAUGCCACUGAGUUAGAGAAGAAAAUUCAGGACUCAACAGUGAAAUUCUUCUAAUUCAGUGCAAAGCUUUGAUGGAUCGAAAACAUGAGGCACACAUGAAUACAAUAGCGCUUCCAUCCAUUUUUAGGAGUUGCAGUAACACGAUGGAGAUAAGAGUCUUAACUUUGCCAUGAAGACCAUUUCUGUGGAAGGACAGAAGUUCACUCUGAAGACAGCCAAGGUUCUUACUCUUUGAGAACCAAAGCCAUAAAGCACGUUUCCAUGUAUCGCCUGUAGGAAGUGGCUCCUUUGGGAACAAGAACGACUCUUCCUUAGCAUGGAAUCACCCAUGCAGUACCUCCUGAUGGGUAAAAAAAAAAAAGGCACAUAUUUCAUAACAGCACUUUUAGACUUCCUUCAUGGGGAUUCAGUUACUCACAAAGAAGACUGAGGCUAGGGCUGGUGUUGUGGUACAGCCAGUUAAGCUGCCACCUAACCCACCGCUUAUGAUGCCAGCAUCCUUUAUUGGAGUGCCGGUUGAGUCCCUACUGCUCUUUCUGCUGCAGCUUCCUGCUAAUGUACCUAUGAAGGCAGCAGAAGAUUGUCCAAGUGCUUGGGCUCCUGCCACCCACUUGGGAGACCUGGAUGGAGUCCUGGCUCCUGGAGUCAGCCUGGCCCAUCCCUGUACUUUGCAGCCCUUUGAGGAGUGAAUCACAGAAUGGAAGCUCUCUCUCUCUCUCCCCCUGUAACUCUGCCUUUCAAAUAAAUGAACAAGUCAUUAAAAAAGAUGAAUACUGAGGCUGAAUCUUCCAGGUAAAACCAAAACAGCCUGUUUGGCAUCUUCAAAGUUGAGAGUCACAAAAAGCAUUGUCUCCCAAGAGCACUUAGAACACAGUUUGUGUUCUCAGCAGCAACUUUUAAGUGACUUGAAACCUGUGAAUAAACAGAAAUACUGGAGAGAGCAGCAGGAGGAAGGGUGAGGGAAAGGUCGAUUACUGGGUACUGAGUUACAGUUAGGCAUAAGAAGUUUGGGGUUCUAUUUCAAAGUAGGAUGACUAUAAACAAGGAUGGUGUGCUGUAUAUUUCUCUAAAAAGAAAUUAGUAGAAAGGAUUUUGAAUGUUUCCACCAUAAAUAAAUGUUAAAUGUUUGGGAUGGAUAUGUUUACAGAACUGGACAUUACACAAUGUAUGCAUGUAUAGAAACAUCACGUGGUACUCCAUAAAUAUGCGCCAUUUUUGUACAUAAGUUAAAAUAAAGGAAAAUGAUAGAACAUAUUUCAUUGUAUCCUACUCCAGUUCCCUUGAUUGUAGAAUUGUCUUUCUAAUACUGCCAAUUGGGCUAUUGUCAUCCUAAAUUUCUUGCUCAGCAGUAACAAGACUGAAAAGCAGCACUGGCUUUGCAACAAUGAAUUUUUUCAAAACCUCUACUCACUGGCCAGUCCACUAUCUCCUUUCUGUGACACUUAGUUAAGGAUGGACCCUGAAGCCAGAUUGUCAGGGUCUGACCCUCAACUCUUACAUUCCUUAGCUGGGGACCUUGUUGAGUUACUAAUGCCCUCUGUGAUUCUAUUUUAUUACCUAUAAAAUGACUGUAGUAGCACCUACAUCAUAGGGUUGUUGUGAGACAUGAGCGAGUUAAUAUAGUGAAGCACCACAUAAUGGAAUUUUGGCCAAUGACAGGCCACGGUGUUUGACAAGUGGUCCUACAAGAUGUCAUCUAGUGACAUCGUAGCUGUGGUAUUGUAGCUUAGCACAUUGCUCAUAUCUUUGUGAUGGUGCUGGUGUAAACACAUCUAUUGAGUUGACAGUUGUAUAAAAGUACAGUACAUAUACUUACAAGAGUACUUCAAAAAGUUUGUGGAAAAUUGGAAUUAAAAAAAGAAUGUAUCUUUUCCAUGAAUUUUUGGAAGAACCCUCAUGUGUGUAUAGCAUGUAAUACUGGAUAGUGAUAAUAAAUGACUAUGUUACUGGUCUGUGUAUUCACUCUGUUAUAUUCUUCAUUGUUGUCUUAGAGUAGUCCUUCUACUUAAAAAGCAGAAUUAUCAGUAUGCCAUGUUAUCCAGGUAACAGCCUUAGCAGCUCAUGCUUACCACAUCUCAUGAUUGCAUACACUAAACUGUAUUUUAAUGUGUUUGCUACACUAUAUAUUUUAUUGUAUAUUAGAAUGUGCUCCUACUUAUAAAACAAGUUUCUUGCAAAACA
Long non-coding RNA from Oryctolagus cuniculus (rabbit), 4432 nucleotides. RefSeq lists it as uncharacterized. The record is from RefSeq and is a predicted model, not a curated record. Lineage: Eukaryota; Metazoa; Chordata; Mammalia; Lagomorpha; Leporidae.